Molecule: ribosomal RNA, 484 nt
Filed under: uncultured bacterium
Lineage: Bacteria
Description: partial 16S ribosomal RNA
Rfam family: Bacterial small subunit ribosomal RNA
Source: RNAcentral
AUUGAACGCUGGCGGCAUGCCUUACACAUGCAAGUCGAGCGGAUGAAGGGAGCUUGCUCCUGGCUUCAGCGGCGGACGGGUGAGUAAUGCCUAGGAAUCUGCCUUGUCUUUGGGGAUAACGUCCGUACACGGGCGCUAAUACCGCAUACGUCCUGAUGUUGAACGUGGGGGAUCUUCGGACCUCACGCUAUCUGCUGAGCCUAGGUCGGAUUAGCUAGUUGGUUUGGUAAAGGCCUACCAAGGCGACGAUCCGUAACUGGUCUGAGAGGCUGAUCAGUCACACUGGAACUGAGACACGGUCCAGACUCCUACGGGAGGCAGCAGUGGGGAAUAUUGGACAAUGGGCGAAAGCCUGAUCCAGCCAUGCCGCGUGUGUGAAGAAGGUCUUCGGAUUGUAAAGCACUUUAAGUUGGGAGGAAGGGCAGUAAGUUAAUACCUUGAUGUUUUGACGGCACCAAAAGAAUAAGCAACGGCUAACUUCGUG